This is a long non-coding RNA of Mauremys reevesii (Reeves's turtle), 780 nucleotides long. RefSeq lists it as uncharacterized. The transcript has 3 exons. The record is from RefSeq and is a predicted model, not a curated record. NCBI's taxonomy places the organism in Eukaryota, Metazoa, Chordata, Testudines, Geoemydidae.
UACUGCGGGGCGCCGUGUUUGGAGGAGGAGGAGGAGAUGGUGCCUGUGGAAUACCUAUAAAGAAUGUUCAUUCUGACAGGACCCUGUGGUGUCCAUAGAUUCAUGUAUGUCAAGGUUCCACAUUGUCAUCAGAACAAAGAGGAGGCUACCUACAGUGAUGGGGGCUGACGUGCAGACAAACUUUAUCUUUACUGAGCCAUGAUGAAUGGAAAGAUGAUGAGGCGUUUGAGGCAUAUUCAAGUCCCAGACUGUCCAUCCCUCUCCUACAGCACUGUUCAUAUCUGGCUAUGUGUGGAUUCUCCAGCUCUGGCCCACCAGAUGCAAAGGCGAGAGAGAGCUUUAGCUGCAGAAAGAAUCAGUGCUGCAGGCCAAAGCUCUGCUGCCCUCUGGCUACCAGUCCAGCACCAACAACCAGCUCUCGCCUGGGGAGGAUUCUUCACACUCUUCAAUGCAGCUUCUCUAAUGGAAAGAUCCAAAAACCUCCCAGAGCCUCCUCUCCAUUGACAUGUAACCAUUGCUCAGGCUUUACUGGGGGCCGAUACAAGAGUAAGAUACAUCAGCAUCCACUGUCAGCAGCAAAAGGCAACAGAGAAGCGGGGAUGUGAAGCAAUUGCCGGCUUUCUAGUCACCUGAAUAUCAAAAGACAUAGCUGCUGCAUGAACAAGUGUCCUUAUUUCAGGAGUGGCCAACCUGAGUCUGAGAAGGAGCCAGAAUUUACUAAUGUACAUUGCCAAAGAGCCACAGUAAUACGUCAGCAGCCCUCCAUCAGCUCCCACGCCC